Molecule: ribosomal RNA, 569 nt
Filed under: uncultured bacterium
Lineage: Bacteria
Description: partial 16S ribosomal RNA
Rfam family: Bacterial small subunit ribosomal RNA
Source: RNAcentral
UGGGGAAUUUUGGACAAUGGGGGAAACCCUGAUCCAGCCAUCCCGCGUGUGCGAUGAAGGCCUUCGGGUUGUAAAGCACUUUUGGCAGGAAAGAAACGUCGCGGGUUAAUACCCCGCGAAACUGACGGUACCUGCAGAAUAAGCACCGGCUAACUACGUGCCAGCAGCCGCGGUAAUACGUAGGGUGCAAGCGUUAAUCGGAAUUACUGGGCGUAAAGCGUGCGCAGGCGGUUCGGAAAGAAAGAUGUGAAAUCCCAGAGCUUAACUUUGGAACUGCAUUUUUAACUACCGGGCUAGAGUGUGUCAGAGGGAGGUGGAAUUCCGCGUGUAGCAGUGAAAUGCGUAGAUAUGCGGAGGAACACCGAUGGCGAAGGCAGCCUCCUGGGAUAACACUGACGCUCAUGCACGAAAGCGUGGGGAGCAAACAGGAUUAGAUACCCUGGUAGUCCACGCCCUAAACGAUGUCAACUAGCUGUUGGGGCCUUCGGGCCUUGGUAGCGCAGCUAACGCGUGAAGUUGACCGCCUGGGGAGUACGGUCGCAAGAUUAAAACUCAAAUGAAUGACGGGG